UCCUUGUUUAUACUACACGGCGUCUUUAAAAAGCUGGUACGGCCCAGAUUGCCCAACAGACCAAUGGCGGACCACCCAUGCAAACGAGCUAACGUCUGCCGGGCAAGGAGAUUGGCCCUGCUCGCGCUGACGUCACAGAGACAUUUAACCGCCACGCCCCCAGCGUGGCGGUGGAGGAAGAGAGGCGGGGAACAGAAUCAGAAACCCCCUUUCAGCUUGGGGAACAGACAUGUUUAUGGCAAUGUUUAGACCAGCAAUGAUCGUAUCACUGUGCAACACAAUGACUGAAGAUGGAACUGAGCCGGCUGUCGGCAGAUCUCUAAGCAACACAAGAGCAAGGUCAUGAUGCAGUGCUAUCGAUGCUCCCUGGAACGCCAAACUCUAUCCAUCACAGUUAAAAAUUACAUGUGCAUGAGAAUAAGUGUGGCUAUACAA
Long non-coding RNA from Homo sapiens (human), 435 nucleotides. RefSeq annotates it as RNF44 antisense RNA 1. The transcript is spliced from 2 exons. The record is from RefSeq and is a predicted model, not a curated record. NCBI's taxonomy places the organism in Eukaryota, Metazoa, Chordata, Mammalia, Primates, Hominidae.